Molecule: ribosomal RNA, 73 nt
Filed under: Monilinia laxa
Lineage: Eukaryota; Fungi; Ascomycota; Leotiomycetes; Helotiales; Sclerotiniaceae
Description: partial 5.8S ribosomal RNA
Rfam family: 5.8S ribosomal RNA
About the family: 5.8S ribosomal RNA (5.8S rRNA) is a component of the large subunit of the eukaryotic ribosome. It is transcribed by RNA polymerase I as part of the 45S precursor that also contains 18S and 28S rRNA.
Source: RNAcentral
GUGAAUCAUCGAAUCUUUGAACGCACAUUGCGCCCCUUGGUAUUCCGGGGGGCAUGCCUGUUCGAGCGUCAUU